This 1282-nucleotide long non-coding RNA is filed under the name Zonotrichia albicollis (white-throated sparrow). Its description in RNAcentral is "lncRNA (ENSZALG00000001575.1)". The record is from RNAcentral. Lineage: Eukaryota; Metazoa; Chordata; Aves; Passeriformes; Passerellidae.
GAAAAAUCAACAUAUGCUGCUGCAUUUAAAAUUAUUAAUUAUAACUGUAUAUCACCAGUAACUGUCUGUGUUCAGCCUACAAUGCUUUCAGGUAAAAAUCAAUUCCAAGAACUUUAUGAAUCAAGUAGUCUUUACUGGCAUGAAUAAAAAGACUAUAAAGUAAAUUAUUUCAAGGUGGAUUCUGUGGAAUAGCAAGGAUCAGAAAUGCAUCUUGAUCUUUCUGAGGUUUAGCAUAAGAAGAAAUGAUAGUCACAGUAUAUUUUUAUAGAGAGCCUGUGUGUACUGAAAGCGCUUAAAAUUAAUUUUGCUAUGGAAAACAAGCUGUGCACGAAAGGUUUUGCUGCAAACCCACCCCCUGCCAAAAAAAAAAACCAAACCAAGCAAACAAACAAACCAAAAAAAAAAAGGGGGACGGACCUGCUAGAGAAGUCAUCUCAGUCUACAGUAUAAAGCAAUAUUACAAAAGUCCCUGUUUGUUUUUUUCCAGGUUUUCAUAAUAGGCUUGCCAAGAUGUGACCACAGCAAAUGGCCAGAGGCUGCUUUGGGUUUUUUCCAUCUUCUCGGUGAGAUGGUUACCAAAGAUUCCCCUGGACUAUUUAAAAAAAAAAAACAAAAACAACAAAGAGCAGAAAGCCCACGCUGUUGGAUGCCAUCUGCUGCUCCUGUGCAGCAGUUUAUUCCAUUCCCUGCCCAGCUCUGGGCAGAUGGUGUCCAUUCCCUCCCAGCCCUCUCGAGGGACAGGGAACCUCAAUGCCGCCUCUGCGCGGGGAAUGAGGGAUGCAGGUGCUGCGGGCUGGGGCGACCUGAGAGGAGGCUCCGGGGGUGAUCCCCAGCCCCGCGGGGGCGGCCUUGUCCCGCAGCCCUGCCCAAGGAGCUGCCUCCCGCCUGGGCUGGGCCGGGCAGCGGGGCCGGGCAGGUGCUUGUUGUCCCCGGCGGGAAGAUGGAGGCGGCGGGCGGGGAGCGGUGAUCGCCGCGGGCUGCGCCGCUCGCCUCGCUCAGGGCUCCCCAGACAUGUUCAACCAGCAGCAGUUCCAGCAGCAGCUGCUGCAGCUCCAGCACCUCCUCCAGCAGCAGCAGCAGCACCAUCACCACCCUCCGGCGCAGCAGGGAGGCCGGUAAGCGCCGCUACGCGAGGCCGGGGAUCCGGGGCCUGUCCCGGGGGAUCGCUCUCCUCCGCCUCUCCGCGCUCCGUCCGUGCUCGCCGCGGCGGGGCCGGUGCGGCGCUGCCCUCCCCUGGCGGGGAAGGCAACAAAGGGAGGCGGGCGGGAGUUGGGGGGCGCGG